RNAcentral lists this non-coding RNA (188 nucleotides) under Prochlorococcus marinus subsp. pastoris str. CCMP1986. Lineage: Bacteria; Bacillati; Cyanobacteriota; Cyanophyceae; Synechococcales; Prochlorococcaceae. The record is from RNAcentral.
GUAAAUAUCUAUCGUCAAACAAACUAAUUGUUUAAGUAUUAACUUGCGGUAUCUUCUUGGGCCCAUUCUUUAUGUUUUUGUUCUAGAUCUGUAACUGAAUCCCUUUGAUAAGUUAACUUUAAAUGAUUAUGAGCUAGCUGAUCUUUGGCUACCUUCAUAUCGUUUGAAAAGAAAUUCAAUGGCUCUAC